This 1122-nucleotide ribosomal RNA is filed under the name Triticum aestivum (bread wheat). Its description in RNAcentral is "partial small subunit ribosomal RNA". The record is from RNAcentral. Lineage: Eukaryota; Viridiplantae; Streptophyta; Magnoliopsida; Poales; Poaceae.
AUGGAGGUGAUGGAUGUAGGCAUUGGGAUGGAGCGCAGGAAGAGGCCUAGGAAAGCGAGUGGAAAAGCUGCCGAAGCAGAGGCGGCGGCGGCGGCGGCUGCGGAAGCUGCUAGGGCGGCGGCGGAAGAAGAAGCUGCUGGGUGGGAGGAGUUCGAGAAACGGAUGGCAAACCCUCCGACGGCCGAGGAGCUGCGCGCGAGCGAGGAGAGCUGGGAGAAGUUCUGCAGCGAAUCGUGGGAGAGGUUCCGCGAUAGAUGGAUCGAUGUCUGGUCGCACGGCAUGAUCCCCUUCGACGCCGUCACGCAAAUCCCCUGCAUGCGUUUCACAGACGCCGACUUGAGGCACCCUGAUUUCCGGAACAUCCUCUAUCCGGAGGACACACUACAGAUCGUCUCCGUCCAAGUCAAGGACCUUACUGGUGGCUUGCAGUGGCCCCUCGAUGUCUACGGCGUCGUCGCCGUACGCGAUGGGGUGGAUCGCUUGCGAAAUGUGGUUUUCAGCCGUGAAAGGGACGACUGCCAAAGUAUCAAUGAGCAGGAUUCAUACCUAACACUGACAGGCCCUAGUCGCGGUGUUGUCAUGUCGCAUGAUAACUCACAUUUGGAGGUAAUGCUCAAAGUGAAGGGUACUACGGAAUCUGAAGAUAAAGAUUUAAACAAAUUUGUGGACUCAUACAGGCUGGGCUGCUUCCUUCCUAUUGAGUACACUAGCAAGCUUUGCACAGUGGAGAUGCAAUACUACACUGCUUUUAGGUCCGUGGAGGCCACGAUUUUUGUUCGAGUGUUUAAAGGGCGAUGGCCACAAGGUUUUCGAGGUGUACUAACUGCUAGUACCUUGGAGAAAAGAGACGUCCAAAUCUCACUGCUGGAACUUAAUGAUGAUGAAUUGUCGGUUGAUGCUGAUGGCUUUGUCAAGCUAUCAAGAGGUGUUAUUUGUGUUGAAAAGGAUGGGAAGCUGGGGCUGUCUAUCUUCCAACGGGGUGCUGGUGGGGAAGAAGGCCGAGCGAUAGCUGGUAUUUGGAUUGCAGCUGAAGAUGCCGGAGAAGCUACUCAUUACAUGCCUGUGGAGGCGCUCGACUGCUGGAUGGAAGUUACAGUUGCCUGGUCUCUUUUCAGACUUUGA